ACAACAAAAAUAAAAAACGGUAUCUCAAGAACAACAAUACGAAACGACUCUGACAUAACAAGAACAAGCACGGCAGAGACGGCGCAAACUGAUUUUUUUGGAGAGGAUUCGCGCUCCUGGGGUCUAGGCCCCGCAGCCGGACAGAGAACAAUAAAACUACCUCGAGGUAGCGCCCGGACUGGUUGGAUCACUUGGUGAUCAUCGCGAUAUCGGCGAUCAAAGAAAUACGUUUGCUCUUGGCCCCGGCUGGGGCCGACUGAAGCACUUUCUUCAGAGUGGCGGUCGACAAAAACAACAACAGAUCGAGCACAAGAAGAACAAAGCACAAAGUCGAUUUCGAGGGGAGCUCAGGCUCCCCUCUGUGCUUCGAGCGAUCCCCCUUUCCGGAAAACCCGGCUCA
RNAcentral lists this small RNA (400 nucleotides) under Azotobacter vinelandii DJ. RNAcentral's name for it is "Pseudomonas sRNA CrcZ". It matches the Rfam family "Pseudomonas sRNA CrcZ". Lineage: Bacteria; Pseudomonadati; Pseudomonadota; Gammaproteobacteria; Pseudomonadales; Pseudomonadaceae. The record is from Rfam by way of RNAcentral.